RNAcentral lists this transfer RNA (64 nucleotides) under Curculionoidea sp. 4 KM-2017. RNAcentral describes it as "tRNA-Asp". The record is from RNAcentral. Lineage: Eukaryota; Metazoa; Arthropoda; Insecta; Coleoptera.
AAAAAUUUAGUUAAACUUAUAACGUUAGUUUGUCAAACUAAAAUUAUUACCCACAUAAUUUUUA